RNAcentral lists this unclassified non-coding RNA (3464 nucleotides) under Octopus sinensis (East Asian common octopus). RNAcentral's name for it is "tRNA methyltransferase 10 homolog B, transcript variant X5". The record is from RNAcentral. Lineage: Eukaryota; Metazoa; Mollusca; Cephalopoda; Octopoda; Octopodidae.
CAUAAAAGAGAUUUCAAUAUUUGAGUCUUUUAGGAGAUUUCAGCGCGUGAUUUACAUUAACUUCCUUGUGUUGGCAACCAGGCAUCAUCAUCAUCAUCAUCAACAUUGACAAUGGUGUAAACUAAUUUAUUUGCUGAAGUUAUAGAAUCAUCAUCUCUCUUGUUUAAUCACUAACUCUCCGUAAAAUACCAGAAUGGAGGAGUUUCCAGAUGAGCUUCCGUCCCUUUAUGAUUCCGAUAAUGAAACAUCUUCAACUAAACAUAAAAUGAAAAAAGAGAAAAGAGAAGCUUAUUGGAUAAAGACAAAAGAGAGCAAACGACAGACACGUAAAAUUAAAAAACAAGAAAAAAAACAAAGGGCCAAAAACAGAAUUCCAGAUACACAUUCCAAAGAAAAUGGUAUGUUAAAUAAAAGAGAUCAUAAACGCUUUCUACACGAGAAGGGCCUGCAAGCACUGAAGUCAGGGUUAAAGAUCUGCAUUGACUUAAGUUUUGAAGAGAAAAUGUCUGAAAAGGAAAUUUCAAGGUUAGCACAGCAAUUGGGAAGGAUCUAUGGCUAUAACAAGAAGACAGAGAAGCCAUUGCAUAUAUUUUUGACAAGCAUUGACCAAAGUGGUUUCUUCUUUAAAGAAUGUACCCGCAUCAACCAAGGAUUUCAGAAUUAUUUGUGGGAUGUCUGCGAUGAAUCAUACACAGAACUGUUUCCAAAAGAAGACAUAGUUUAUCUCUCACCAGAUUCAGAGAACGUCUUAUUCACAAUAGACCCCGAGAAAGUGUACAUCAUUGGUGGCCUUGUCGAUGAAAGUAUACAGAAGAAAAUGACGUACUACAAAGCUCUACAGAGUGGAAUACAAACUGCCCGUCUCCCUAUUGAUGUAUUUAUGAUGAAUGGUGACAGGAAGGGCAACUACUGUCGAAUCUUAACGGUCAAUCAAGUACUUGCUGUGAUUUCUGAAUUUCUGAGAACUGAAGAUUGGAGACAGGCUCUAUCUAGCGAGGUCCCUAAAAGGAAAGGUCUAGUGUUGAAACCCCUUGAAAAUGUGAGCUCCUGAGUACAGUGCAACCGAGUACAGUGAAGUAAAACAAGAACAUGGACAUUAGCAGAAAGAAGUUUUGGUUUAUUCUUCAUUCUCUUUCAUUGACAUCAUCAUCAUCAUCAUCAUCAUCAUUUUCAACAUGUCUCUAUGUGUGCUGCAACAGCAGUAGCAUCACCAACAACUUCUGUGAAACUUAUUGAUAAACCAAACACCCAAACACAUGCACACACGCACACGUUUGUAUGUGUCUGGUGUUUCAGUUUGUGAUAAGACAUCGGCAGGUCACACUAGGUGAGAGCUAUACCAAGAGUUAAAUGGCUGACUCACCCAUGAAGCAAAAGUACUGCUCUAUCACAUAGCUGUAAAGUAUGUGGGUUGACUGAUAUAAAUCGUCCCUCAGUUUCAUCAAUGACAAACCUAGCACAAGACUAAGCAGAUACAUUAUUAAAAGCCUUCCAGCUAUGACCAUCACUUAUAUUUCAGCUACAAUGUACAUAGGAUUACAUUAUGAAAUGUACUUUUCUGCUUUUAAGACUACAAGGUGUCAUUUGAAGGAAAGAUUUGGUUGCUCUUUCUAGUUGAGCAAGUGACUGCACAGAUCAAUGGCCCCUCACCUUUUCCAUGCUGCACACUCCUAAGAAAUGUUUGAUUAAUUUUCAAUAACUAAUUUAUUUUUUAAAAAUUCAACCACAUCCAGUCACACGUAUCAAAGAAUUGGACUCCAUAUAAAAAAGAUUUUAACUCAGUUAAUUAAAUCUAAAUUGGAUAAUUAGGUCAAAACUGUAAACAUUGAAACUAAUUACAAUAGGGAAUAUAAAAUAAUUUAACGACUUGAUUCUGCUUCUCAUUUAAGACUUUAUUAAAAUGUGGAAGAUGGCAGGAAGAAUCUGUUUAAUCUCACUUCAAUCAGAUGACUACCACUGCCAUCUGCAAGAAAGACCUUUACAUCCUGCUAGCUCUUAUCUGGAAUGUCCCUUCUUUGACACCUGUCAGUACAAAGAUUCCAUGUUGGACAACACUCCUGCACACUAGCCAACUCUUCUAUCUGCAACAUGAGCAAGGAUCUGUGUGCAUAUGUGGUCAACUUGUUAUGGUGUUCCGAGUGCAGUAUUUAUUAUAUCAGUUGUAUGAUGUGGUUGAAGAAACCCUUGACAACACAUGCAUCUUCCUUUUGCAAACAUUCUGAAAUGCAGUAACACCACCACCACCAGUGACAAAUAAUUCCUUAUUGGUUGCAGAGAGAAAUGUUGGACUUCUCUGGAUCAAGGACUCCUUUAUAAUCCACUAACUUAACUCGAAGAUCAACAAUUUGUUGAUGUUGAGUUGGUGGCUUUUUUAAGCUGCUCACCAUCAUCAAAUUCUCUGCUGCCAUGACCAAUAUAAUCACCACUACGACAGUGACUAUUGCCAUCACCUUCCAACACCUUACCACUGACUAUUACUUCUUCCAUUACAACUAUUAGUGUCAAUGUAGGUAGCUGUCUUCACCAAGACUGCUGCCAGCCAAUAGCUAGCCAUCCGUUGCCAUUCUCACAAUGAUCUCUGUGACCACUGCCAAUACCAUUUUGGAGAAUGGCUUCCACUACAAUAAUCCCUCAUUGCUGUCAUCACCACUUAAACAGACAUUGCAGAGUCACUGUCUACAUAACAAUCAACAUAGCUGGAUUUGUAGGGACUCACAUUGUUUCACUCUGUUUAUUUCUGAUGAUGAACCUUUGUGCCUGAAAUAUAAAGGUUAUUAAACUUUCCUCUUUUACAUUGUAAGAAGCUUCCCAUCUUCAUUAUUUUCUUAUUUUAUCCUAAAAAAUAAAUAGGAAAGAACAUUGAUCCAAGGUAUUUGUUCCUAAAAGAAAGACAGAAAAAUCCCUUAUCAUCUAUGUAUUUCUUCUUCAGACUUUUAGUGACCAGGGAAACCAUAUUUGGUUGCUGUACAUAAAUACAGUUAUGCUGUGGCCACUUCAACCGAUUAGAGCUGGCUGCAGAAGGAUAAAUGUGGCAGCUUCCGCCCAGCAGUGUUGCGUGCCAUUUUCAGUUUAGUCAGUAGAAGGGCGCAGGAUGACCAACACAGAACUAGUUUCCUAGUUUCUCACUUCAACUUAGUGUCGCAGACACCUUUACAGUCCAGUUCCUCCAACGCAAUUGCUACCAUGAAUAAUUCUUUCUCAUCUCAGCUAGCACAGACCAACUUACCACUGCUAUCUUAUCCCUGCUUAUGACUUCUCAUUUCAUACCUAGUAAAUUAUUUCGGCUUCCCUGACUCACACACAUAUACAUACAUACGUAUCCUAUACAUAUGUCUACUACCAGCACAUACAUAUCCUACAUACACAUACAGGCCUCAACUCUCACUACUUGUCUGCUGUUGGUCACUUCUCAUUGUUACUACUUGCCAGCACUCAUUGGAUUAAAUAAAUUUUAAUGUUAUAUA